UUCCUUGUGUUUCAAAAAAAAAAUAUUUUCUUCCUUUUCUACGAUUCUAAUUUCAAAAAGUUUGUUCUAACUAAAUCCCUAUAUCACAUAUCUUUCGGCAUCUAACAUAGGAAUCUGAGUAUCCAAAUAACAUUAUUAUAAAUCUUCUCCUGAUCUUUCUCCUGAUUCAUCCUUGACAUGUUCCAUGUGGUGUUGCUUUUCUCGAGGUUGAAGGCGGACUGGAUAUGACGACGACUGUUGGAUAGAGGAGUUGAAGCAAUCAAGGUAGCAAUGACACGAUCGGUGGAUGAGUGCGCAAGAAGAAAAGCUCGAGUGGUCGAGAGAUUCAGUUGUUCAGAUAGUGACGAAUCUGAGAGAAUGAUCGUGGACUUAUACGAACGAGGCUGAGCAACAGGUUUGACUACGACGGCCAUGAAUCUGGAGAUGAAGAUUGUGGAGACAGAGCACCUAAUGAAAGCUCUUUUGGAGCAUGAUCUGCAACUGAAUCCACCAGAAGGAAACAAUCACGAGCAAGUAUGUAAUCCACCAGAAGGAAACAAUCCAAUCUCACUCUCUUGAUCGUCCAUGAGGACAUAAGCAAUGGUUUGGUGAGGGAGCGAAGCACGUGAAAGCUGUUUUCUUUUUAGCAAGUAAUAUAGCUCUAAUCGUCUUUUUUUUUGUGUGGAUGAGGUAUCUUUUGAUUCAAAACAAAAUUAUUUAGGUUGAUAGAAUGUUGGGGAGGUGCGAGAAUCCUGGAAAACAUGAAGCUAUGCUAAAGAUGAAGACGAAUUCAUGAUAAAGCCGGAGAGCGCACAAAGGAUGAAGAAAGGGUCUUAGUACUAGCUGCUACAACUAGACAUUCCACCUUGAUGAAGCAGUAGCUAGAAGCUUCCCAAAAGGUACACGGUCGGUCCAUGAAACCCGAAAAACCCAGUUAGAGACAGUCCUCUUCCUCAAACUCUUGAUCCUUUCGUGGCUGCUUUUUGAAAUCAAUCUGUUACUAUCUGUUGACUCUACGUAUUCUUUGAGCCUUUGAGCCAAAUCGAGUGUCUCUUCACUCAUAUUGGCGAAACAAACCCUAAACCAACCCGGUUCAGUACAGUGGCACGAUGAACCGGGUGAAAUAUCACUUCUAUACAAUGUUCUUCCAUAGCUCAAGCUCUGCUUCGAAUGUGUUUGUGUCCAAGAGAUGCCUCAUAUCGACCCAACAAAACAAACCAGCAUUGCUUUUAAGACAAGUAACUCCUGCGGCUUCAAGACCGGACACGAGUUGCUUUUGACGAAUCUUGAGACGUUUCUGGUUUUCGUUGAGGUACUUACCUGUGAACUUCUUGUCGGAAAGCAUUGCAGAGAGAAGGUAUUGUGUUUGGGAAGACACAAGACCGAAACUCGACAUUUUCGUCGCGGCCGAAACAAUCAUUUCUUCGUUGGAGUAUAUCGCUCCAACGCGAAAACCGGGUAAACCGAGAUCUUUGGAAAGACUGUAAACGACAUGAACUCGUUUGGAAACUUCGGUGUUCUCGAGUUUCUUGUCUUUUAAGACAUCCAUGACACUAACGAAUGGUUCAAACCCAAAAACGGUACCUGCAUAGAUCUCGUCGCUUAUGAGAUGAAUGUUUUUGGAAGUAAUGAAGUCAACGAGAAGGUUAAGUUCUCUUCUGGUCAACAUUGUGCCAAGUGGGUUAGAUGGGUUGGUAACAAGAAUCCCUUUGACCUUAAGAUCAAGCUUCUGAGCUUGUUGAUAAGCUUGUUGAAGAGCUGACUCUGUUAUUUGGAAUCCGUUGGAGCUGGAACAAUGAAUCGGUACGAUCUCUGCACCAGUUCUCCAUUUCAAAUCCCUAUCGAAUCUGUACGCAUAAGAGAAUCAAACGUCACCUCCGUUUUCUUGGGAGACAAGCGAAUAACAUAUCAACCAUUAAAAAAUUAGGGUGUAGAAAUUACCCUGGAUAGUAAGGAGUGGGUAAAAGGAAAGCAUCUCCAGGUUCUGCGAGACAAAACAUGAGAGUUUCGUUGGCAGAUGUUGAACCAGCAGCUAGAACAAUCUUGCGUGGAUCAAUUGUUACUCUAUUCACUCUUAUUUCUUCCAUAAACUCUGCCAAAGCCUAGAUGGACAGGCCAUGAUAGUCUUGGAAGAGAGCAAGCUCUUUGAAAAUGGAUUGGCCAUCCUUCUUGAGUCCGGCUGCGUCUGGAUUCUUGGCUAACCAUGUCUCUACGAGAUCAAAACAUAGCUGCAUAUAACGAAGAUCAUAUUAAGUACCAGGAAAGAUAGACUAAAUAUUUGCUAUUGGUCGAAAAACCAAACUUAAUGUAUUUACCUGGUUUUCAGCAAGACCCAUUUGAAUAAUCCCAUUAGGGUUCUUGAUUUCUUCGUAUGGGUUCUUCUCGUAUUCUUCCCAUCCCAAGAAGUAGGAUGAGUCUUGUCCAUGAGCAUUGCUUGUCACUUUUGUCGACAGUUGUUUCAUUUUAAAAAUUACAAAA
Raphanus sativus (radish) is the source of this 2457-nucleotide long non-coding RNA. RefSeq lists it as uncharacterized. The record is from RefSeq and is a predicted model, not a curated record. The transcript is spliced from 6 exons. Lineage: Eukaryota; Viridiplantae; Streptophyta; Magnoliopsida; Brassicales; Brassicaceae.